RNAcentral lists this non-coding RNA (30 nucleotides) under Mus musculus (house mouse). The record is from RNAcentral. Lineage: Eukaryota; Metazoa; Chordata; Mammalia; Rodentia; Muridae.
UAACAGAGGAACACAUACUUUUGUGGUGUC